Pteropus vampyrus (large flying fox) is the source of this 204-nucleotide small nucleolar RNA. Its record names the gene SNORA73. It matches the Rfam family "Small nucleolar RNA SNORA73 family". From Rfam's summary of the family: U17 (SNORA73A and SNORA73B) also known as E1 belongs to the H/ACA class of small nucleolar RNAs (snoRNAs). Vertebrate U17 is intron-encoded and ranges in length from 200-230 nucleotides, longer than most snoRNAs. It is one of the most abundant snoRNAs in human cells and is essential for the cleavage of pre-rRNA within the 5' external transcribed spacer (ETS). Lineage: Eukaryota; Metazoa; Chordata; Mammalia; Chiroptera; Pteropodidae. The record is from Ensembl.
CCAACGUAGAUACCCCAGGGAGGUCACUCUUUUGAGCUCUGUCCGGGUGGCACAGGGGAGCAUAAGGUUCUACCCCAUGAGACACAAUCCUUUUCCAUAACGUUGGAGAUAAGCCUGUCCCUUAAGUCUAUACCUGCAUAUUCCUAUGGCUUUUCAGAGUCCUAUAGACAAUGACUGAGGCGAUAAACCACACAGGAAACAUGU